RNAcentral lists this long non-coding RNA (1269 nucleotides) under Apteryx haastii (Great spotted kiwi). Its description in RNAcentral is "lncRNA (ENSAHAG00000001862.1)". The record is from RNAcentral. Lineage: Eukaryota; Metazoa; Chordata; Aves; Apterygiformes; Apterygidae.
GUUUGCUCCCAGAAAUGAUCUGCUGCUCCCUUCGAGGGAACAAAAUGGCACCACUCAGCACAAGCCAAGGGAGCUCGAUUACAUCAUUUUUUUUUUUUUUUUUAAUGAUCGCUCUCCCAGCUCCUGCAGUGCAGAGGAGGGGGAGAUGCUUCAGAGCAGGGAUUCUCUGCCACCCUGUCAAAGGGACAGGGCAUCCUACCCCCUUUUCCCAAGGAUGGCUGCCGGGGUGUGAAGCUGGGGUGUGCACACAGGUCUGCCCAGGGCUGUAAUUCAGAGCAGUGCCCUGUGCCGCCGGGUGCUGUGUGCCUGGGGCAGUAACUCUGCUGCCUGGAAGGGUCAGCACUCAGCCUGCCCAGGGAACUCCCCACAGUGCUGCGAGGAGAAGCUCUGGGUGAGAGGGGCGACCCCCGGCAGGGCAGGUUCAUUCUCCCAUCAAGCAGGUGCUGCAUGGGUCAGGGCUGCCCACAGCUCUAGCCCACCAUAAGGACAUUUUGAGAGUGGAGUUUUCAGGAGGACUUGUCUCUGCAGAGUGGGAAUGGAAAUGCAGUACUCAGGUUUAAAAAAGGGGCUAAACAUCUUCACCAGCACACUGAAGGAUGAAUAGGUUUGCAAGGAACCUCAUCAAGUGCCUUCAGCACCCCUCAGCCUACAGACAGCACCAACAUCACCUUGCCAGUCUCAUGGGAGAUUCUCUGAUGUGCUCUUUAGCACCUGCAAAGAGGGAGAUGCCCYCGGGAAGUUUCCUGCUGCUUGGAGGUUUCUGUAGGGCUGAGCUGAGUGGGAUGGAGUCUGUGUGAGGACAGAGGAGCAGCUCCCAGCAAGGACAUCUCUAAGCAGCAGAGAGAUGGUCCGAGAGCGAGAGGAAACUGCUACCAGAAACCUCAUGCGAGGCUGGGAUGCAGGAAAUUCUCUGCCAGCCCUGCCUUUAAGACACUUGACCCUUCCUGUGGUGUGCUGCUGGGCUGCAUGCUGCCCUCCAGAGGGGCACAGCUCUGCUGUAUGACAAUCGUGAGAGCUGAAUGUCCCAUGCAGAAGCCACAGAGGUGCUAAGGAAAUGGAAAUGCUGCUGGGGGUGGCUGUGUGGGGGCAGCUGAAAUAAGCACUGUGUGUCUUUGUCUAGAAACGGGGUGUUGAGUUCUCUCUCCGUACCAGAGCCAAGUCACAGAGUCCUUCUUCUGAUCAUCRGAGCCAUGUGCUAUGUCACACCCUCUCCAUCACUCUUGGAAUAUCUGAGCUGAGAAAGGGAGGUGAGUUUGGAGAUCUGUGCUU